CACCAGACUCCUACGGGAGGCAGCAGUGGGGGAUAUUGCACAAUGGGGGAAACCCUGAUGCAGCGACGCCGCGUGAGUGGAGAAGUAAUUCGUUACGUAAAGCUCUAUCAGCAGGGAAGAAAAUGACGGUACCUGAAGAAGAAGCCCCGGCUAACUACGUGCCAGCAGCCGCGGUAAUACGUAGGGGGCAAGCGUUAUCCGGAUUUACUGGGUGUAAAGGGGGCGCAGACGGCGAUGCAAGCCAGGAGUGAAAGCCCGGGGCCCAACCCCGGGACUGCUCUUGGAACUGCGUGGCUGGAGUGCAGGAGGGGCAGGCGGAAUUCCUGGUGUAGCGGUGAAAUGCGUAGAUAUCAGGAGGAACACCGGUGGCGAAGGCGGCCUGCUGGACUGCAACUGACGUUGAGGCCCGAAAGCGUGGGGAGCAAACAGGAUUAGAUACCCUAGUAG
RNAcentral lists this ribosomal RNA (447 nucleotides) under uncultured bacterium. RNAcentral's name for it is "partial 16S ribosomal RNA". It matches the Rfam family "Bacterial small subunit ribosomal RNA", at positions 329 to 793 of the family's 1533-position model. The record is from RNAcentral.